GGUCUUGGGGCAAGGGUUUCUGGCCCCUGGUUCAGGGAUCUGGCUUCUAAACUUGAUUCUUUCCCCAUACCUGAUCAAGAGAUAAAAGAUUGUACCUAAUUGCUUCUUUUAGGCACAGGUUGUUAGAGGUGGGGUGGGAAUCCCAAUUUCCCAGUCCUCCUUCAGCCUACUGGUAAGUGGAGAGCAGGUGAAGAAAGGUAUACACUUAAUCCUUGUCUGUGUAUCCACAUGAGAGAGAGGGAGGAAGAAAAUGAACCUGAGCUGAGAAGGCAUGGCCAACCCUGGAGGAAGCAUGAUGUCUCAUGCACACCUUCUUCUCCAAGAGGACUGCUUGUGCUAAGAAUGAAGAGUGCAGGGCAUGGGUCAUAGGGAUGCUAAGGGGACCAGUGGGCUGACAGUCUGCCUCCGUGUGAGCACUGUCUAUCCUUUGAGUUUCUACCCACCCUCUCAAGCCACAGCCUCUGUCCUUUGCCCUCUGAGUGUCUUCUUUCCACCUGGGCUACUUCUUGUUCUUUCUCCAUGAGCCUGUGACAGGGGCAGGGUGCCCAUGCAGGACAUGUAUGUCAACCUCAGUUCCAGAUUCCCAGAAGGUGUGUGAGUGUGUGUCAGAGCGGGGCUGGGGGUCAUCCACAGAUCAGAGCACAGGCAUAGAGAGAGAGCUUCUGAGGAUAGGAUCACCUGUUGGUCACAUCCUACACCCUGAAGCCUGAGGACCUGUCACUUGGACCCACCGCCAGCCAAAGCAGCAUCAGUCACUGGCCAGAGGAGCACAGAAGUCACAGGAGUGCUCACAAUGUCCGGUGUCCUGGAGAAGCUCUGGAAUAAAUACACCUGGGCCUUUGAAAACGGAGACCUGAGGACAGAGUCCCGGUUCCUGAUACACUUGCCACUCCCUGUCCCCCUUCUUUUUAUCUUCUAUCUUCUGGUGGUGGCAAGUCCUCACUUCAUGUCUGGAUGGGAGCCCCUGAAGUUGGCAAGACCCCUUGUCGUCUAUAACCCAAGCCUGGUGGCUCUCUCAGGGACCUAUCCUGUGAGGUAAGGCCAGCGGGCCCUGUAGAGUUCUAAGAUCUCCUCUUUUUUGGGGUGUGAAAAAAACCAUGAUCCACCUUUGCAGAAAGCUGAAAGACCUUAGAGGGAACACAGGUAGGAGCUGGGGUUCUGUUCCAUCUCUGGUGACCCUAUCUUCCUUGUAGAGACACAAAUCCCACCUCCCAUUUUCCUUUCCUUUAAAUGGAAAAGUAGAGGUCAGUGCGAGCAAGAUAGAAUUCAUUAUCUCCCCCCACCCCCUAACACCUCCUGUUUCUACCUAGGCUCUGUGAAUCUCCAGUGUUCUGAGCCCCAAACACAGGGUCCUUCCAGACACCUUGCUCUCAGCAGAUUGUUGGUCAGCAUGUGCGCUGAGCAUGUGCUGGGUGCCAGGCUUUGUGAGGACCUGCAGAGUCACUGCUGGAGAAGGCACAACCACCCUCCAGGAGCUCCCACUCUAGGUGGGAAGGCAGAUGUGGAAAUGGGUGGUUGCAAUUCAAGGCAGGAAGGGCAACAGAAAGUGUGUGCCAGCGUUAGGAAGGAGGGGCAGAGACCAAGUUGUGGUGUCAGGAAAAGCUCUCUGAAGGAAGUGGUCAUCAUCACUGGCAUUUUAAGGUGCUUUUUAUGGUGAGGCACUGCUCUAAGUGCUUUCUGAGGACCUGCUCACCUGCUCAUACCAGCAAAGCUCCAAGGUACAGAAAGGAGUCAAGUAACUUAGCAAGUGGAGAGGUGCCCUGGCCACAGAGCGUGCCCCCUCACCUCCAGCCCCUCUGCCUCAGUGCCCCAGCUGGGAAGGGAAGAGGCCAGCAGUCCAGUCUGAAGAAGCAGGUCCUGACAGCCACACCUCUCACCUUCCCUCCUCUAUCCAUUGGUCUCCCUUCCACAUUAAUGUUCACCUCCCUUCCAUCCUCUGUAUUGCCAACGGAAUGAUCAUCCCAGACACCUACCCACCAAAAGGACCUCAUGGCCCUUUGAAGGCUUCCCAGCAGCAGGGGUAAGGCAACUCUGUCGAUGAGUGCAGAAGCCUCCCACAGUCCUCUGGGCUGAGCCUUGCUUUCCUGCCCCAUGCCACCUCCUUCCAUUGCCCCGGGAGUCCUGCUUCCUCCAAUGCUGCACGGUUCCCCAGGCCCACAGUUUUGCCCCGUGGGUCCCAGGACUUGGCCCAUAACUGCUUCCUGCCAUAAAUGCUUCUCCCAGGUGCCCUGACAAAUUCCUGCACAUCCUGCAGACUCUGGCUUCUCUUGAAGUCCUCCUUGGCUUGCUAAGGCCAAGUCAUUUGUUUCCUUCCUUGGGUUUACACCUCUCACUCUCCACGGGGGACUCGGUCUGGCUCUUUCAGCUGGUCAGCACUGCCUGUGCACAUCUCUCCCCAACUCCAUGCUAGGUGACUUCCUGGUAGCUCGAGAUCAGCUGUGGUGGGAGCAUUUACACCGUAGGAGCUGGCCAACGCUACAAACCCACCUGCCCUCUCCCACCCUGAGAGCCUGUUCAGCAUUUACCAACACUCUGCCAUCUCACUAUUUGCAGAUUUGUUGGCCUCCCCUCCAAAGGGCAAGUGCUUCAAAGCAGGGCCACGUCUCACUUAUCUUUGAAAAGUCAAGCCUAGAAUAGUGUCUGGUACCAUGCGGAGGAGGCAGAUAACUUGUGAGAUAUGAGACACGCCCCAGAGAGCUUGUCACUUAAUUGUGACAACAAAUUACUCUGCUGCCACUAUAAUCCUUUGAGAAUCUGCCAUGCCCAUGGCCGCCUCUUGCUCAGAAGC
Molecule: long non-coding RNA, 2788 nt
Organism: Ailuropoda melanoleuca (giant panda)
Lineage: Eukaryota; Metazoa; Chordata; Mammalia; Carnivora; Ursidae
Exons: 3
Source: RefSeq, a predicted model, not a curated record